Molecule: transfer RNA, 66 nt
Filed under: Laomedia astacina
Lineage: Eukaryota; Metazoa; Arthropoda; Malacostraca; Decapoda; Laomediidae
Description: tRNA-Phe
Source: RNAcentral
UAUUCAUAUAAUUUAAAUGAAAAUAUUACACUGAAGCUGUAAAAAUGAUAAUUUAUCUGUGAAUAU